GUGGUAACGGCAGAGAAAAAAAUAAAGCAGGAUUCAUUUUAGAUGGGAAGGCUUCGCUGAUCUGAAAGAGAAAAGGAGUAAGCCUGGAAGUUUGGGAAAGCAUGGGAGGAACACAAAUGCAAAGGCCCUGAAGCAGGAGGAUCUCUGCCCUGUUUGAAAAACUUCAAACAACCCGGUGACUGGAUAAAAGAGAGAGCAUUGCCCAUAAUCAUCAAGUUUGGAAUCGAAUGUCCAUUAUUCAGAAGUUGUGAAACUGUAGGCUUCUACCCAAUGGAAUAUUAUGCAACUAUACAAAGAAUGAAGUUGUUUCUACAUAUUGACAUGGAUAUUCACCAGAUACCAUAAUUAUUCUUUAAGGUGCAUCCAAAGUCAUUGUGUGAUCCUGGGCUCUCAUUGACUCCUGCCUUCAGGAGCCUGCAUGUUCUGGAUACAAGAGCUGUGAGGCUUUUCUCUGGUCACACUGGCAUCCUCAAGGUCCCUGCAACAGAGCAGGCAACAGAUCAGACUCUCUCAGAGCCUUUGCUCCAGCUCAGGGGUUCUCAAAGGAUAACCCAGGGAUCUCUGGCUUUUAAAAUUACAUGUGCAAAAAUCUUUGUAAAACUACAAUGAAGCCCGUAAACAAAUGAAAG
This is a long non-coding RNA of Neofelis nebulosa (Clouded leopard), 629 nucleotides long. RefSeq lists it as uncharacterized. The record is from RefSeq and is a predicted model, not a curated record. The transcript has 5 exons. NCBI's taxonomy places the organism in Eukaryota, Metazoa, Chordata, Mammalia, Carnivora, Felidae.